CCUACGGGUGGCAGCAGUGGGGAAUAUUGGGCAAUGGACGCAAGUCUGACCCAGCAACGCCGCGUGAAGGAAGAAGGCUUUCGGGUUGUAAACUUGUUUUAGGGGGGAGGAGAAGAAGACGGUACCCCUUGAAUAAGCCACGGCUAACUACGUGCCAGCGGCCGCGGUCAUACGUAGGUGGCAAGCGUUGUCCGGGUUUACUGGGUGUAAAGGGCGUGCAGCCGGAGGGACAAGUCAGAUGUGAAAUCCACGGGCGAAACCCGUGAACUGCAUUUGAAACUGUUUCCCUUGAGUGUCGGAGAGGUAAGCGGAAUUCCUGGUGUAGCGGUGAAAUGCGUAGAUAUAAGGAAGAACACCAGUGGCGAAGGCGGAUUACUGGACGAUAACUGACGGUGAGGCGCGAAAGCGUGGGGAGCAAACAGGAUUAGAUACCCGUGUAGUC
This 442-nucleotide ribosomal RNA is filed under the name uncultured bacterium. RNAcentral's name for it is "partial 16S ribosomal RNA". It matches the Rfam family "Bacterial small subunit ribosomal RNA", at positions 338 to 795 of the family's 1533-position model. The record is from RNAcentral.